AGGAUUGUAGUCAAAAAUGACAUCUGGGUUGCAUUCAGAAAGUACUAUUUUUAUAGUCUAUCUUA
This 65-nucleotide transfer RNA is filed under the name Thysanoessa raschii. RNAcentral's name for it is "tRNA-Ala". The record is from RNAcentral. Lineage: Eukaryota; Metazoa; Arthropoda; Malacostraca; Euphausiacea; Euphausiidae.